Long non-coding RNA from Pectinophora gossypiella (pink bollworm), 410 nucleotides. RefSeq lists it as uncharacterized. The transcript is spliced from 2 exons. The record is from RefSeq and is a predicted model, not a curated record. NCBI's taxonomy places the organism in Eukaryota, Metazoa, Arthropoda, Insecta, Lepidoptera, Gelechiidae.
UUUGUCCGCCAGGUUUGCUACCAAUCUUAUGGUAUGGCUUAAAUAUCACUUAUAUUAUGUUACAUUUAUUGUAUACUAUAUUGCUCCGUCGACAAAAUACACAAGUAUUCAGGUCUUAAACGGCGUUACCAUGUACGGUCACGAGCAUUAAUAUGUAUACACUUUGGUCUAUCUUACUAUGUCACAUUAACUUUUUUGACAAAUUGAACUGUAAGUCUCUUUAAAUGUCAAAUAUGUUAGUGCGACAGAGUCCUAAAGUGGGUGGGUAUUGCUCAUGACUGUACAGGAAUCAGCACGAGUAUUAGGUUUGUAUUUCCAAAUUGUUUGUAAUUAAUUCCCCUCAUUUGAAGUGAUUUCUGCAUUUAUUUGAUUUUUAAUUACGCUUAAAUAAAAAAAUGAUUUUAAAAUAU